GAUCAUGGCUCAGGGUAAACGCUGGCGGCGCACAUAAGACAUGCAAGUCGAACGGACUUAAUCGAAAUAUUUAUAUUUUGAAGCGGUUAGUGGCGGACUGGUGAGUAACGCGUAAGGAACCUGCCUAUUAGAGGGUGAAUAACAGUGAGAAAUCAUUGCUAAUACCGCAUAUGCCAUAGAUAUCACAUGAUAACAGUGGGAAAGGAGCAAUCCGCUAAUAGAUGGCCUUGCG
This 232-nucleotide ribosomal RNA is filed under the name uncultured bacterium. RNAcentral describes it as "partial 16S ribosomal RNA". It matches the Rfam family "Bacterial small subunit ribosomal RNA", at positions 15 to 235 of the family's 1533-position model. The record is from RNAcentral.